GAUGAACGCUGGCGGCGUGCCUAAUACAUGCAAGUCGAGCGAACGGACGAGAAGCUUGCUUCUCUGAUGUUAGCGGCGGACGGGUGAGUAACACGUGGAUAACCUACCUAUAAGACUGGGAUAACUUCGGGAAACCGGAGCUAAUACCGGAUAAUAUUUUGAACCGCAUGGUUCAAAAGUGAAAGACGGUCUUGCUGUCACUUAUAGAUGGAUCCGCGCUGCAUUAGCUAGUUGGUAAGGUAACGGCUUACCAAGGCAACGAUGCAUAGCCGACCUGAGAGGGUGAUCGGCCACACUGGAACUGAGACACGGUCCAGACUCCUACGGGAGGCAGCAGUAGGGAAUCUUCCGCAAUGGGCGAAAGCCUGACGGAGCAACGCCGCGUGAGUGAUGAAGGUCUUCGGAUCGUAAAACUCUGUUUAUUAGGAAGAACAUAUGUGUAAGUAACUGUGCACAUCUUGACGGUGCCCUAUCAGAAAGCCACGGCUAACUACGUGCCAGCAGCCGCGGGUAUACGUAGGUGGCAAGCGUUAUCGGGAAUUAUGGGCGUAAAGCGCGCGUAGGCGGUUUUUUAGUCUGAUGUGAAAGCCCACGGCUCAACCGUGGAGGGUCAUUGGAAACUGGAAAACUUGAGUGCAGAAGAGGAAAGUGGAAUUCCAUGUGUAGCGGUGAAAUGCGCAGAGAUAUGGAGGAACACCAGUGGCGAAGGCGACUUUCUGGUCUGUAACUGACGCUGAUGUGCGAAAGCGUGGGGAUCAAACAGGAUUAGAUACCCUGGUAGUCCACGCCGUAAACGAUGAGUGCUAAGUGUUAGGGGGUUUCCGCCCCUUAGUGCUGCAGCUAACGCAUUAAGCACUCCGCCUGGGGAGUACGACCGCAAGGUUGAAACUCAAAGGAAUUGACGGGGACCCGCACAAGCGGUGGAGCAUGUGGUUUAAUUCGAAGCAACGCGAAGAACCUUACCAAAUCUUGACAUCCUUUGACAACUCUAGAGAUAGAGCCUUCCCCUUCGGGGGACAAAGUGACAGGUGGUGCAUGGUUGUCGUCAGCUCGUGUCGUGAGAUGUUGGGUUAAGUCCCGCAACGAGCGCAACCCUUAAGCUUAGUUGCCAUCAUUAAGUUGGGCACUCUAAGUUGACUGCCGGUGACAAACCGGAGGAAGGUGGGGAUGACGUCAAAUCAUCAUGCCCCUUAUGAUUUGGGCUACACACGUGCUACAAUGGACAAUACAAAGGGCAGCGAAACCGCGAGGUCAAGCAAAUCCCAUAAAGUUGUUCUCAGUUCGGAUUGUAGUCUGCAACUCGACUACAUGAAGCUGGAAUCGCUAGUAAUCGUAGAUCAGCAUGCUACGGUGAAUACGUUCCCGGGUCU
This 1370-nucleotide ribosomal RNA is filed under the name uncultured bacterium. Its description in RNAcentral is "bacterial SSU rRNA". It matches the Rfam family "Bacterial small subunit ribosomal RNA", at positions 28 to 1381 of the family's 1533-position model. The record is from RNAcentral.